UUAAGUUGGGCACUCUAAGGAGACAAACCCUCUUUGAGGGUGGGAAGGUGGGGGAUGACGUCAAGUCAGGAUGGCCCUUACGGCUAGGGCUGCACACGUACUACAAUGCCCGGUACAGAGGGACGCAAUACCGCGAGGUGGAGCAAAUCCUAAAAACCGGGCCCAGUUCGGAUUGUAGUCUGCAACUCGACUACAUGAAGUUGGAAUCGCUAGUAAUGGCGCAUCAGCUACGGCGCCGUGAAUACGUUCCCGGGCCUUGUACACACCGCCCGUCACGUCAUGAAAGCCGGUUUCGCCCGAAGUGCAUUUGCCAACCAGUAAUGGAGGCGGUGCCCUAAGGUGAGGCUGGUGAUUGGGACGAAGUCGUAACAAGGUAACCGUAGGGGAACCUGCGGUU
This 397-nucleotide ribosomal RNA is filed under the name uncultured Opitutaceae bacterium. RNAcentral describes it as "bacterial SSU rRNA". It matches the Rfam family "Bacterial small subunit ribosomal RNA", at positions 1126 to 1519 of the family's 1533-position model. The record is from RNAcentral. Lineage: Bacteria; Pseudomonadati; Verrucomicrobiota; Opitutia; Opitutales; Opitutaceae.